This 218-nucleotide long non-coding RNA is filed under the name Ananas comosus (pineapple). Its description in RNAcentral is "long non-coding RNA (ACOM_LNC022334)". Lineage: Eukaryota; Viridiplantae; Streptophyta; Magnoliopsida; Poales; Bromeliaceae. The record is from RNAcentral.
AUCAAUAACAUAAAACUAACUGCUAUUACAAGCAUUCAUUUCAUACAACAUUUUUCUUUUACAUUUGCUUAACUUUCAAAUACAAUCACAUUAUUACAUUUAAUACAAGUUGGUUGUUGUCAUUCCAAUCUAACCCCUAGGUCCUACUGACUAGGGGUACUGCUAUCUCGGUCUCUGGGGUAGGGCGCUAUCUACGAAGCUACGCCCCCGCCUCGCGC